GCACAAGCGGUGGAGCAUGUGGUUAAUUCGACGCAACGCGAAGAACCUUACCUGGGCUUGACAUCCCGAUCGCACCUUAUGGAAACAUAGGGGUCAGUUCGGCUGGAUCGGUGACAGGUGCUGCAUGGCUGUCGUCAGCUCGUGUCGUGAGAUGUUGGGUUAAGUCCCGCAACGAGCGCAACCCUUGUCCUUAGUUGCCAGCAUUCAGUUGAGCACUCUAAGGAGACUGCCGGUGUCAAACCGGAGGAAGGUGGGGAUGACGUCAAGUCCUCAUGGCCCUUAUGUCCAGGGCUACACACGUGCUACAAUGGCCGGUACAAAGGGGCGCAAGACCGCGAGGUGGAGCAAAUCCCAAAAAACCGGUCUCAGUUCGGAUUGGAGUCUGCAACUCGACUCCAUGAAGUUGGAAUCGCUAGUAAUCGCGUAUCAGCAUGACGCGGUGAAUACGUUCCCGGGCCUU
This 460-nucleotide ribosomal RNA is filed under the name uncultured Desulfuromonas sp. RNAcentral describes it as "bacterial SSU rRNA". It matches the Rfam family "Bacterial small subunit ribosomal RNA", at positions 923 to 1382 of the family's 1533-position model. Lineage: Bacteria; Pseudomonadati; Thermodesulfobacteriota; Desulfuromonadia; Desulfuromonadales; Desulfuromonadaceae. The record is from RNAcentral.